Molecule: microRNA, 21 nt
Filed under: Panagrellus redivivus
Lineage: Eukaryota; Metazoa; Nematoda; Chromadorea; Rhabditida; Panagrolaimidae
Description: prd-miR-40-3p
Gene: prd-miR-40-3p
Source: miRBase by way of RNAcentral
UCACCGGGUUUGCAUUCAUUC